GUUUGUAAUAUGUUCUUAGCAUCUAACGAGUCACAAUGUGAUUUAAAUAGGGUGACCAACCGUCCUCUUUUCCCCGGACAUGUCCACUUUUCACGUUCUGUCCGGGGCGUCCGGGGGGAUUUUCGAGAUUGAUAAAAACGUCCGGCUUUUCCUAUAUUCCGACAGAGGACCCAUGUGUGUGACAUCAUCCCCGAACUGCUGCUGAGCGCUUGUAAGUUGUUCUGCGCUCUCCGACGGGACAGACAGCCCGCAGGAUGAUGUUUAAAAGAUCCUAAAACGCAAGUGCAUCUUUUCAGACGAACUCCAAAAGAAAUUUCCCUCGUACCGACCCAGUACUGUGAUCUUAUCUGCCUUGAGGAACCUCCAAGAAAAGAUCAGGAGGUUGGAGAUGGAAAAAGGACAUGCAGAGUGGAGUCUGCAUGCACUGGGAAAAGAUGCUUCACAAACACUUGUGCAGAAUGGUGAUAUUACACCGAGAUUCUUAAAUGAUCAAAAAGACCCAGAAAGACAGAAGUGCCCAGUCCAACUGCGUAUGACAUGGUUUGAGUGAAAAACAAACAUCAACAACAAAACCUUAAGUUAAUUGCUCAAGACCUGCAGCAGUCCAAUGAGGAGGCUCACUGGUGUCACAACUUGGGUAGUCACUCUUCCUGUUACAAAUGACGACGACAUAGCACUGAUGAGGCUCACUAGGUCGAUCACAGUGUCAGAUACCAGAAGACCAGUUUGUCUGCCUCAUAAAGACUAUAUCAUUCCAGCUAGAACCUACAUGACUGUGAUGGGUGGGGAUACCAGUCGGAAAAUGGGGGACAGUGGAGGCCCUGUGGUGUACCACAGCACCUCAAGAUGGAAUCUGGUAGGAGUGGUGAGCUGAGGUGUUGGCUGUGCCCGGAAGAGAAAGCCAGGUGUUUACACCUACAUGGAAAUAAUGCUCAACUGGAUUCAAACAGUCAGUGGGGUACUGCAUAUGGAUUAAUAAUAGACCCAUGAAUGUUGAAAGGAAGUCACAUCGCAACAGUGUUUGUCCCUUCAUUGACUAAGAAUUUGCCUCAAAAAUAUUUUCAAAAUAAUACUGUAAUGUAAUUCAUACAGUCCCUAAGAUGAUUUUUAUUUCAUCUCAACAUAAAAACCAAUGAUGUCAUCCACUGUGACAAACAACCACCACGAGAAUCCAGUGUGGUCUACCUCUGAUAGAUUGCGAAAGUUAAACAAACCUGUUUUUUCAUAAGCGUCAAAGUAGUCACACAUCCACAGCGACCUUAAAAUACUCUCACUAUAUCCAGAAUAUUCAGACUAGUUUUGCACUCAAGAAAAACUCAUUUGAACAGGAAAUCAACCUGAAUUUGUUUUAAAACUGUUUCUUUACUGAAAAAUGUAGUUUGUUGUAUCAUAUAUAAAAAUAGUUGGACUUGAGUAAGAGUGCCAUGGGGGUUAAUAUUUGUGAAUAUUUUCCUUUUUGUUGUUUAAUAUAUCCGAGUCAUUUGCAAAGACAAUAAAAACAAUGUUAACU
Oreochromis aureus is the source of this 1510-nucleotide long non-coding RNA. The record is from Ensembl. NCBI's taxonomy places the organism in Eukaryota, Metazoa, Chordata, Actinopteri, Cichliformes, Cichlidae.